GAUGAACGCUGGCGGCGUGCCUAAUACAUGCAAGUCGAGCGAACAGAUGAGGAGCUUGCUCCUCUGACGUUAGCGGCGGACGGGUGAGUAACACGUGGAUAACCUACCUAUAAGACUGGGAUAACUUCGGGAAACCGGAGCUAAUACCGGAUAAUAUAUUGAACCGCAUGGUUCAAUAGUGAAAGACGGUUUUGCUGUCACUUAUAGAUGGAUCCGCGCCGCAUUAGCUAGUUGGUAAGGUAACGGCUUACCAAGGCAACGAUGCGUAGCCGACCUGAGAGGGUGAUCGGCCACACUGGAACUGAGACACGGUCCAGACUCCUACGGGAGGCAGCAGUAGGGAAUCUUCCGCAAUGGGCGAAAGCCUGACGGAGCAAUGCCGCGUGAGUGAUGAAGGUCUUCGGAUCGUAAAACUCUGUUAUUAGGGAAGAACAAAUGUGUAAGUAACUAUGCACGUCUUGACGGUACCUAAUCAGAAAGCCACGGCUAACUACGUG
Molecule: ribosomal RNA, 497 nt
Filed under: uncultured bacterium
Lineage: Bacteria
Description: partial 16S ribosomal RNA
Rfam family: Bacterial small subunit ribosomal RNA
Source: RNAcentral